RNAcentral lists this ribosomal RNA (791 nucleotides) under uncultured archaeon. RNAcentral's name for it is "bacterial SSU rRNA". It matches the Rfam family "Archaeal small subunit ribosomal RNA", at positions 85 to 879 of the family's 1478-position model. The record is from RNAcentral.
ACUGCUCAGUAACACGUAGUCAACAUGCCCAGGGGACGUGGAUAACCUCGGGAAACUGAGGAUAAACCACGAUAAGUCACUACUUCUGGAAUGGGUAAUGACUCAAAUCUACAUGGCCCCUGGAUUGGACUGCGGCCGAUCAGGCUGUUGGUGAGGUAAUGGCCCACCAAACCUGUAACCGGUACGGGCUCUGAGAGGAGGAGCCCGGAGAUGGGCACUGAGACAAGGGCCCAGGCCCUAUGGGGCGCAGCAGGCGCGAAACCUCUGCAAUAGGCGAAAGCCUGACAGGGUUACUCUGAGUGAUUUCCGUUAAGGAGAUCUUUUGGCACCUCUAAAAAUGGUGCAGAAUAAGGGGUGGGCAAGUCUGGUGUCAGCCGCCGCGGUAAUACCAGCACCCCGAGUGGUCGGGACGUUUAUUGGGCCUAAAGCAUCCGUAGCCGGUUCUACAAGUCUUCCGUUAAAUCCACCUGCUUAACAGAUGGGCUGCGGAAGGUACUAUAGAGCUAGGAGGCGGGAGAGGCAAGCGGUACUCGAUGGGUAGGGGUAAAAUCCGUUGAUCCAUUGAAGACCACCAGUGGCGAAGGCGGCUUGCCAGAACGCGCUCGACGGUGAGGGAUGAAAGCUGGGGGAGCAAACCGGAUUAGAUACCCGGGUAGUCCCAGCUGUAAACGAUGCAGACUCGGUGAUGAGUUGGCUUUAUGCCAACUCAGUGCCGCAGGGAAGCCGUUAAGUUUGCCGCCUGGGGAGUACGGUCGCAAGACUGAAACUUAAAGGAAUUGGCGGGGGAGCAC